GGCUUGAAGAGUUUAUCGAAUGAUGGCUUGCAAGGCCAUCGGAGCAGCGUCCCUGCUCAAGCCU
This 64-nucleotide transfer RNA is filed under the name Polyplax asiatica. Its description in RNAcentral is "tRNA-Cys". The record is from RNAcentral. Lineage: Eukaryota; Metazoa; Arthropoda; Insecta; Psocodea; Polyplacidae.